Molecule: ribosomal RNA, 253 nt
Filed under: uncultured bacterium
Lineage: Bacteria
Description: partial 16S ribosomal RNA
Rfam family: Bacterial small subunit ribosomal RNA
Source: RNAcentral
UACGUAGGGGGCAAGCGUUGUCCGGAUUUAUUGGGCGUAAAGAGCGUGUAGGCGGCUAAAUAGGUCCGUUGUGAAAACUCGAGGCUCAACCUCGAGAUGCCGAUGGAAACCAUUUGGCUAGAGUCCGGAAGAGGAGAGUGGAAUUCCCGGUGUAGCGGUGAAAUGCGCAGAUAUCGGGAAGAACACCCGUGGCGAAGGCGGCUCUCUGGGACGUGACUGACGCUGAGACGCGAAAGCGUGGGGAGCAAACAGG